GAUGAACGCUGGCGGCGUGCUUAACACAUGCAAGUCGAGCGGGCAAUUUAUCUAGCACUGAUUACUUCAAAUGGAAAUCAUAAGUGUAAUCAUGAAUUUCUACCUUUAAUAAAGAAAAAGAAAUUCAUGUACGCAAAUAGUGAUAACACAUUUUAGUGGAGUGAUGAGUGCUGGAUAAAUUGCUAGCGGCGGACGGGUGCGUAACACGUGGGUAACCUGCCCCUAUCACUGGGAUAACACACUGAAAAGUGUGCUAAUACCAGAUAAUAUAAGCUUUUGGCAUCAUUAGCUUAUCAAAGAAUUUCGGAUAGGGAUGGGCCCGCGUCUGAUUAGCUAGUUGGUGAGGUAACGGCUCACCAAGGCAACGAUCAGUAGCCGACCUGAGAGGGUGAUCGGCCACACUGGAACUGAGACACGGUCCAGACUCCUA
This 430-nucleotide ribosomal RNA is filed under the name uncultured bacterium. RNAcentral describes it as "bacterial SSU rRNA". It matches the Rfam family "Bacterial small subunit ribosomal RNA", at positions 28 to 341 of the family's 1533-position model. The record is from RNAcentral.